Lutra lutra (Eurasian river otter) is the source of this 107-nucleotide small nuclear RNA. The record is from RefSeq and is a predicted model, not a curated record. Lineage: Eukaryota; Metazoa; Chordata; Mammalia; Carnivora; Mustelidae.
GUGCUCACUUCAGCGGCACAUAUACUACAAUUGGAACAAUAUAGAGAAGAUUAACAUGGCCCCUGCACAAGGAUGACAUGCAAAUUCAUGAAGCAUUCCAUAUAUUU